This 331-nucleotide unclassified non-coding RNA is filed under the name soil metagenome. Its description in RNAcentral is "partial contains 5.8S ribosomal RNA, internal transcribed spacer 2, and large subunit ribosomal RNA". The stretch from base 1 to 120 matches the Rfam family "5.8S ribosomal RNA", at positions 35 to 154 of the family's 154-position model. The record is from RNAcentral.
GAUGAAGAACGUAGCAAAAUGCGAUAAGUAAUGUGAAUUGCAGAAUUCAGUGAAUCAUCGAAUCUUUGAACGCACAUUGCGCCCGCCAGUAUUCUGGCGGGCAUGCCUGUUCGAGCGUCAUUUCAACCCUCAAGCACAGCUUGGUGUUGGGACUCGCGUUAAUUCGCGUUCCCCAAAUUGAUUGGCGGUCACGUCGAGCUUCCAUAGCGUAGUAGUAAAACCCUCGUUACUGGUAAUCGUCGCGGCCACGCCGUUAAACCCCAACUUCUGAAUGUUGACCUCGGAUCAGGUAGGAAUACCCGCUGAACUUAAGCAUAUAAUAAGCGGAGGA